AGAAGGCUGCAAACGGUUCCAGAGUAUCGACGGCGAACAAUACGGGAGACGGCGGCGUGGUUCUCAGAGAUUUGGGGCGGCCUGGCCGGCGAGGCGCUGUGCUGCUCGGUGACGUGGUCUCGACGCUGGUGCGGCCUGCUGUGCGCCGUCUGCCUAGGUCUUGGGCGGCGCUGUGCGCGGAGCUGUGGCUGGCGUUCGCAGCGGCGCUGUAGUGAGUGGCCGUGCAUGGGCUACUAUGUGACGGCAUUCCUACUGAUUGGAAUGUAGUUUGGUUGGUUGUGAGUGCACAUGAGGAGAAUAGCCAAGGUCAUCUGGUGCCAAUACACUCAUUCCUUCUACCUCAGAGCCACAACGGAGAUCAGUGCAAUCGCUCGGAGUCAUGAUGCUAUGUUUCCUUUUGUUUCUUAGGCUCCCGUCCUUCUGUAACUAAUUUUCUAUUGGAUGGCUAUUACUUGCUUCGUGUGCUGGGUGUCAUUCCUAGGUUAUUAUACGUGUUUUGCUACGUUAGGAGUUUUACAACCAUGGUUGGACUUGGUAGGUCAUGUUCCGGAGUUCCUGUAAAAGCCGGUACGCGACGAACUGUUGCUUUUGUUAAAGCAGCAUCCGAAUAAAUAUAAUCAUUGCCGUCGAGGAAGAAAGGAAUGUAGAUUUGAACUUAAUUUGACAGGACUAAACACUAUCACAAUUCCAGAUUGCCAUGAGGACAGCCUUGUAUGUCAUGUACUCAUGUUACUUUCGAUAAUACAUAUGAGAUUUCCGUUUUUAUUUUCUGUAAUAUUCAUUGUAUUUUUACGCAACUUCUGCCUUGCCGCAUUGGAAAGAUGAUGAAUGAUUAUUACCAUGGAGUAAUAAAGCUUUUCCGGCCAACCGGAGAAGAACAAACCUGCAUGCUUCAUGUAAUUACACAUGACGCAAAGGCGUACAUCUCCAAAGAUCCAAAGGUGUUAGCCAACAUUUAUAGAUUGACCCCGGGAGAAAUAUUUGCAUGGAAUGGCUAUUAUGUUGAUGAGAUCCAUGGCCAUGCUUUCAGGACAUAUGGAGACAUGGCGAUGCCAAGAUGCUGCGGUGAUGAGUAUUACAAAGAAGAAACAACUUAAGAAAUAGGGCGAUUGUAUUUUAAUUUCAGUAUCAACCAUUUCUGUUUCAGUUUUUAUUCAAAUGUGUUGGGUUGUUAUUAAACAAGUGGAAUAAAAUCAAUGAC
Molecule: long non-coding RNA, 1201 nt
Organism: Triticum dicoccoides
Lineage: Eukaryota; Viridiplantae; Streptophyta; Magnoliopsida; Poales; Poaceae
Exons: 3
Source: RefSeq, a predicted model, not a curated record